UUUAUACGUCGAAUUUUGGUCGCGUCGAAUGCAAUUAAGACAAUAGAUAAUGAAGCUUAAUGAGGUUUAUCAUCUCAUUAUCUAUUGUUUGAAUUGCAUUCGACGCGACCGAAAUUCGACGUAUAAA
This is a non-coding RNA of Paramuricea clavata, 127 nucleotides long. The record is from the annotation of a GenBank genome assembly. NCBI's taxonomy places the organism in Eukaryota, Metazoa, Cnidaria, Anthozoa, Malacalcyonacea, Plexauridae.